Molecule: transfer RNA, 69 nt
Filed under: Hydaropsis longirostris
Lineage: Eukaryota; Metazoa; Arthropoda; Insecta; Hemiptera; Coreidae
Also listed under: 1 other name
Description: tRNA-Gln
Source: RNAcentral
UGUAUGUUAGUGUAUGAAGCACAAAGAAUUUUGAUUUCUUAGGAUUUAGUUUAAUUCUAAAACAUAUAA